GAAAUGCGAUAAGUAAUGUGAAUUGCAGAGUUCAGUGAAUCAUCGAAUCUUUGAACGCACAUUGCGCCCCCUGGCACUCCGGGGGGCAUGCCUGCCUGAGCGCCAUCGCACCUCACCUCGGGACCUGUUCCCGGUGUUGGGGCCGGCCUACGCAUCCGCGUUGGCCGCCCCGAAGUCGAUCGGACCGCGCCCGGUAUGGCGGCAGGAACGUGGUUGAUGUCCCAAGUUGGCAGCUCACGUCCCGGUCGCGCAACCGAAAAGCUUGUCCGGACGGCAUCGCCGUCAGCACCGUGUGGGAGGGGUCCAGCACCCCGACCGGCGAAUCAGCACUUGGCCUCAGGUCAGGCAGGGAUACCCGCUGAACUUAA
This 368-nucleotide unclassified non-coding RNA is filed under the name uncultured fungus. RNAcentral's name for it is "sequence contains ITS1". The stretch from base 1 to 105 matches the Rfam family "5.8S ribosomal RNA", at positions 50 to 154 of the family's 154-position model. Lineage: Eukaryota; Fungi. The record is from RNAcentral.